This 2016-nucleotide long non-coding RNA is filed under the name Vitis vinifera (wine grape). Its description in RNAcentral is "long non-coding RNA (VVIN_LNC007782)". Lineage: Eukaryota; Viridiplantae; Streptophyta; Magnoliopsida; Vitales; Vitaceae. The record is from RNAcentral.
AAGAAAUCAGAUUUUGUGAUGAAAAUAGAAGUUUGUCCUACAUAUAUAUAUCCCGUCAGGCUGAACAACCGGGUCAUUCCGGGUUUUAACACACAGAUUUACAUGUUGGGGAAGCAUCCACACCCCUGAUUUUGGCCUAGGCCCUAGACGAGCUUUAAUUAAUUGAAAUUGCAGAGUUGGUAUGAGUCACAUGUCUGUCUACGUGUGCCUGAGUAAGUCCCCUCAUCAUUUGGUUGAAUCCAAACUAUCAACCUCCCAUGACCGUAUGUAAAGGCAAGGAGUGGGUGGUUGAACUUCUCUCGAAUCAUGGGGAUCAUGUGGGUGCCUCACAUUACUCUGUUUCUAUUACAGGUAUAUCUACAGAUCAUUAUUAAUGAAUGGGCGCUUUUCUCUUUUUCUGCAAUUCAAAAAGAUGAUCUCUCCCCUCGUAAACUUUGCCUUUCUUUAGUGUGAUCAAACCACCUCAAGCCCAUCUCUUUCUUCCUGACGUUGAUCCUACGCAUGGGUGGCAAAUUCCUCAGAAAAGUUGUCCCCAUUGGUUCUUGUUAAAGAUGAGAUUCUUAGCCACAUCAUUGAAACCUGUAAAGCAGAGCAACCAACUUGGCUUCACCUUUCUUGACCCUGAAAGGAACCCUUGAAUGACCUUUUUAGAUGCAAAUUUCACUCCAUUCACACUCCUUUUUAGCCCUCGGGAUGCUUUAGAAAAACUUAAGGUAAAGAAAACAAAUUAAAAGAAAUUUUAAGAUUGCAUACAGAGACCAAAGACUAAAGAGGGUGAAAGGGGGUGGAUCAGCUUUGAAAGGAUUCCAGAUGACCCAAGAGGGGCUUUUUCAGAGUCUCUUUCUCCCUCCAUUUAUUUGCAACUUGUCUUUACAUGUUGAGGAGAAAGAAUAAGAAUAUGGAAUAGAUCGAUUUUCUUUCACUUUUUGGAAUUUGGGUGGAGGACCUCUAAAUUCCUUAUCUCCUCCCCAGGGAUAAGAUAAUGUGUCUUUUGUGUUUUAUGUGCUAGCAAAGUUAUCUCGGCAACAUCCCAUGGUUUUGCGGUUACCACCUGUCACAUAACCCUGUACAAAGAACCUCCUAAAGUGCUGGGAGAUCCUAGAUGUUUCCAUAAUUUCCUUUCCCUAUGUUUCUUAGAUUCAAAGCCCCCCAUAACCUCCUCAUCAGUUCUCAUGCAUGCUUCCGAGCAAUCCUUGAAUUUAGACUUCAAAACCCGUUUCUUUUUCAACUAAAUAUUGCAACCCAAACAAGCCAAAAUGAUUGGCACUAGGCUGAACACAUGCAUGAUUUCAUAGAUUACUAGUUUUAAUGUCUUGAGAAGUUAUGAAGAAAUAAUUUGGUUAUUUUCACUGUUGUUGCAUGUUCUUGAAUGUUGACCUGUUCUGCUUUACAUUUCAUGUCCCUGCAUCCAUAAAAUCCUCAAAACCGGAAAUUUAAGCAUACCAUUGUGUGAGAUGGAUCACAUCUAGGUGAAGACUCCGGUUGAAAGGCUCUGCUCAUGGCUUCCACUUCACGUAUACAAUCUAGCUUUUCCACUCCAACCCAAAAUCCAAUUUCUCAGGCGAAGUGAUGCUCUGUUCUAAUUUUCUUUAAUUGAUCAUGGAAAGUCUCAUCUCAUAAAGGGUGUUUCGCAUCCAUCUAAAAUUUCCAUGGAAGUGGUCCGUACACACCAGCCCUUUCUGUCUUUAAUAAAAUUGUAAUCAAGCCAAUUCGAUCUUCAAAUAUGCAAAAUAUCUCAACAAAGGGACUGAACCAGUGUUGAUUUUACUUCCAAUGGCCCCACAGAGCAAUAAUUGAUAGCAUGCUCAUCACGUGUAGGCACAAUCAUGAAGAAAAUUUUCGCAUUUUCUCUCCCAAUGGGCAAGAGAAACCCUUGAAUCAGAUCUUUACUGUUUAAGAUAAGGAUGAAACAGAUAGAAAAGGGACCAAACACCAGAUCAUGUUUCACCAUGUUUUUGUACAAGACACAGAAAGUGCUUAUGCAUUACAUAUUCAAAGAUACUUCAAUUACACUGN